Long non-coding RNA from Perca flavescens (yellow perch), 634 nucleotides. RefSeq lists it as uncharacterized. The transcript has 4 exons. NCBI's taxonomy places the organism in Eukaryota, Metazoa, Chordata, Actinopteri, Perciformes, Percidae. The record is from RefSeq and is a predicted model, not a curated record.
AGUGUAGUCUUUCCGCUCGGUUGCUUCCCGGACGUUGUAGUCCGUUUGCCUUCAACCGAAAGUCAACUCGCUAGGACUACAAUUAUUAUCGUCCUAGUGCCAGUCAAGUAGCUGUUAAUCUGACUGCAUCAAUAGGCUACGUCGAAUAACGUCGAAAACUGCGUCCAAAGUGUUAUUGCAUUCGAUUUGGAGAUGGAAGAUGUGGAUGAAGCUCACCAAAGGUUGCAGAAAGGUCCACAGGUUGCGUAGGCCUCUUGCUGUCCUGGGCUACACGAGUACACAGCUCGGGGUAAUCCAGACAAACGGCACGCAGCAACCAGCGAAGGCCUCGUAGAGUCUUUCUGUCCGACCAGCGUCGCAGGUCCAUUAAGGCUGAACAAGGCUCCUGAGAGGGAAAGGAAAAAGAGUCCACCACAAAGAUGAUCCCAUGGGCUUCUCCACAGAGCUCCCUCCAGGCUCCUCUCGACUCUGCUGAGCCCCCCACAUCCAACAAGGUGACCAGGUAGUUCUCCACUCUCAGCUCAUGUCGUACACAGCCAUUGGUGGGUCCUGCUUCCACACCAUUGGGGACUAAAAAAAGGACAGGAAGUAAAACACAGGUAGAUAAUUUGUUGUAUUUCAGCUUUAAGCACUU